Molecule: non-coding RNA, 45 nt
Organism: Schistosoma haematobium
Lineage: Eukaryota; Metazoa; Platyhelminthes; Trematoda; Strigeidida; Schistosomatidae
Source: Rfam
AUUCAGCUGACGAGUCCUAAAUAGGACGAAAGACGCGUCCUAGAU